Molecule: long non-coding RNA, 211 nt
Filed under: Gallus gallus (chicken)
Lineage: Eukaryota; Metazoa; Chordata; Aves; Galliformes; Phasianidae
Source: RNAcentral
CCUCCUUCCUUUGAUGGCCUUUCCUUGCCUCCUGUAACAAUCAAACCAUCUCUCAACGUGGUGUACAUUGUGAAAACUGGUCCAUUGUGAGCUUUGGCCACAAUUCGUAUCAACACAUGAUCUUUCCAAACACAAACAUCUCCACUGAUAGUACCUGUAAAUGUCAAGUUAUUAGCUCCAAAAGCUACAGACAGCAUUGUCUGCAUUCGGG